GGUCAUUUAGAGGAAGUAUAUUUGUCACAGCUUACCGAUAGGUGAACCUGCGGAAGGAUCAUUAUCGAAUGAACAUGGGGAUCGGUUGUCGCUGGCUUCUUCAUCGAGGCAUGUGCACGCCUUUCUCUAUUCAUCCAACACACACCUGUGAACUGUGAGACGGAUAGUAGUCUCCCUCUGGUUUUAUUCAUUUAAUUCCCGGGGGGUCGACGAGGUCGUCUGUCAUACAUAAACUCCAAUUAAAUAAAUCUGAAUGUAAUCUGAUGUAACACAUCUAUAAACUAAGUUUCAACGACGGAUCUCUUGGCUCUCGCAUCGAUGAAGAACGCAGCGAAAUGCGAUAAGUAAUGUGAAUUGCAGAAUUCAGUGAAUCAUCGAAUCUUUGAACGCACCUUGCGCUCCUUGGUAUUCCUCGGAGCAUGCCUGUUUGAGUAUCAUGAAAUUAUCAAAUAAAUCUUUUGUUCACUCGAUUGAUUUUAUUUUGGACUUGGGGGUCUGCAGAUUCACGUCUGCUCCCCUUGAAUGCAUUAGCUGGAUCACUGUAGACUCGGUUCCACUCGGCGUGAUAAGUAUCACUCGCUGAGGACACUCUGUAAAAGGAGUGGCCGGGACUAUCAGAGAACCGCUUCCAAUAGUCCAUUUGCUUGGACAAUUACAUAUUAUGAUCUGAUCUCUUAAUCAGUGUAGGACUACCGGCAGAAACCUACGCCCUUUUAAUUAACC
This 723-nucleotide ribosomal RNA is filed under the name Ceratobasidium sp. 69_46C. RNAcentral's name for it is "eukaryotic LSU rRNA". The stretch from base 284 to 437 matches the Rfam family "5.8S ribosomal RNA". The record is from RNAcentral. Lineage: Eukaryota; Fungi; Basidiomycota; Agaricomycetes; Cantharellales; Ceratobasidiaceae.